GGGAAGAUGGCUGAGUGGCCGAAGGCGCAUCCCUGCUAAGGAUGAGUACUCGCAAGGGUACCGUGGGUUCAAAUCCCACUCUUUCCG
RNAcentral lists this transfer RNA (87 nucleotides) under Candidatus Amphrikana amoebophyrae. RNAcentral describes it as "tRNA-Ser". It matches the Rfam family "tRNA". Rfam says of the family: Transfer RNA (tRNA) molecules are approximately 80 nucleotides in length. Their secondary structure includes four short double-helical elements and three loops (D, anti-codon, and T loops). The record is from RNAcentral. Lineage: Bacteria; Pseudomonadati; Chlamydiota; Chlamydiia; Parachlamydiales; Simkaniaceae.